GGCCCUUCGGGUACUCGAGUGGCGAACGGGUGAGUAACACGUGGGUGAUCUGCCCCUGACUUUGGGAUAAGCCUGGGAAACUGGGUCUAAUACCGGAUAUUACCUUCCACUGCAUGGUGGGGGGUGGAAAGCUUUUGCGGUUAGGGAUGGGCCCGCGGCUUAUCAGCUUGUUGGUGGGGUAAUGGCCUACCAAGGCGACGACGGGUAGCCGACCUGAGAGGGUGAUCGGCCACACUGGGACUGAGACACGGCCCAGACUCCUACGGGAGGCAGCAGUGGGGAAUAUUGCACAAUGGGCGGAAGCCUGAUGCAGCGACGCCGCGUGAGGGAUGACGGCUUCGGGU
Molecule: ribosomal RNA, 344 nt
Filed under: uncultured bacterium
Lineage: Bacteria
Description: bacterial SSU rRNA
Rfam family: Bacterial small subunit ribosomal RNA
Source: RNAcentral